GGAAAAGCUAAAUGUCAUUAACAAAGGAAAAAGUAAGCCCUUAUGUGUAAUUCUUAUGUUUGCAAAAAGUCAGUGCAGCCAAGAUAUGAAAUGUAGCCAUUUGUCAUCAGGUGCUGUUUUUCAUUUGCAUUGUAUUUUCCAGUUAACACUCCUCUCUCCAGCAUCUGAUUUCAUAGCAGGGAGAGCUAACAUUCCUAAGGACACAGGCAGUGGGAGCCAUGGGAUUUCUGCAAAAUCCUCACUAAUGUUGAAGGAAGAGACUAUCUUGGGAACACAGCCCCAUUUCUUGUCUUUGCUCAUAUCCAGAGACAACCGUGGUAAAACCUGCAGCCACACGUGCCCACAAAGAGCACGUUCUGUCUGACAUUUCAAGCCUUGCGUGAGGAUCCCAAACCAGCUUGUGUUUCAGCUGGGAGUGGAGCAGAACAGUACCAGAGCUGCUUAGCCAUGAACCAGGGAAACGUCAGCGCUAAACUCUACUUCAGAAUGGUCUAGGAUUCAGCAGAGCCGGCAGUGACAUUGGUGAAGCUGAUGGCUGAGGCCAACUGUGCACAUCUUAGAGGAAAUUUCAGCAGAAAUGAAUGGUGGUGAUGAAAGGUUAAUGGCAAGCAUUGGCACCACAGCCAUUUCCAGAAUACUCCAUCUCUCCCUCAAGCUCAGAAGUAUGCUUGUUGCAAAUUUGGCCAGGUGAUCAUGGGCACAUGGUAAGCAAAAUGAAGAAGUCUGAGUGGGACGGUUGUGAGAGAAUCUGUUCUUUUCUAGCAUGAAUAAAAUGCAAGCAACUCCUGGACUUGCCUGGAGCUUGCUUUGUCCGCUCUCUAGCUGUAAACAGUAAUUAAAACCUUGAGCUGUCGAAUCUGUUUUGUGACACUGUGGCUCGCUGUUUUGCAUCAAGUUUUAGUAUGAAAAGUCUCCUUGCUCUGUCUGCUCCUGGGCAACAGGCAGCACUUUUUCAUCUCUCUGAGGAUUUGGGAGGAGGACUUGUUGGAGGCAGCAAUGCCAUCUUGCUGCUUCUUCAUGACAUUUAAAGGCUUGAAGCAGAAAACCUGAGAUGAUACGAAAAAAGCAAAAGAAACAGGCACCUGUGAAAGAUUCCAUAAGCAGUAAUUUGAAAAGAUCUUCAUUCAAACAGAAAACAUUCUAUCUAAGUGCAUUCCAAAGACAGAGUGCGGAGCCUUACUGAGAGCCAGAUUGAGAGAAAUACAAAAACUAAAAACUACCUUUGUGGAAUCAAAAAGGGUAUUUGAGGACCUGCAACAUAAUGCACUGGAACAUAAAAUGUAAGACUUUUCCCGUUUGAGUAAAUUUUUAUAUUGUUGAUUUUUUGCGAAGUUAAAUUACAGCUACAUAAAGGGAUUUUUAUAUAUACUGAAAAUUAACUUUAUGUUAUGCACAAGUUGCAUUUCUACUUCAUAUCUACUUCUACUGGAAUGCCAGUUCCUAUAAAAUCUAUCUGAUCUUUCUACCUGAAUCAGAAACGUCACCACUUUUAGGGUAUUAAAAGAAAUGGUUCCUUUGUAAAUGGUAGAGCAUCUUACAGUAUUUAAAAAGUACAAUAAUGAGACUCAGACACAAACUAAGUUGCCAUAAACAGGCUUAUUUUUCUGCACUUAGUGUGGCAUUUUCCAGUAAUAGCAUUUUCUACAACAAAAGUGAGAAUUCAGUUUUGCUCAAAGAAAUAAUCACCUUAGCUUUUCAAUGUGCACAUUUUUAUCUGUCAGUUGUGUAACACCAACAUGGAUAUAUAACGUAAUUUAGAGUGUCUUGAGCUGGAAUUUAAAAUAGCUACAGACCAAGAUUUGAUAUUGGAAAUACAAACAAUGUGUAUGCAAAUAUCACACUGGAAAAGCAUGUGUAUCUGUUUUGCAUGUCACCUAAUAGAAAGCCUAUUCGUUAAGGCUUUCAAAUAAAAUUGAGUUAAACCACAGAUGUGCUUAAAGCACAAAGGUUUUUCUUUCCACUGUCCAUCUUAUUUGUACUUUAAACUGAUGCUGAAUACAAAUUCUGAACACUUCUAAAUCCCUGGAAAUGUAUUUUGGAAUAUCCAUCAAAUGCAGGGCUGGGAUCUAAAAAAUUAGUGAUUGCAUAGUGGGACACAGGGGGUAUUUCUAUAUGUUCCUGUGUAUGCAUGAGCUCUCCGCCAUUCGUAGCAGCCGUUUGAUGAUGAAUGUCUUACUAAGAAGGGAAGUUCUACGCUUAUUCAAAUCAUUAUUUUGAAAUAAGUAAAGCAUAAAAAUAAGGACUCCUAACCUCAUAGGUUUGCCAUUAAUUUAAUUAAAAAAUGACAUGCUAUAAAAAAAAAAUAAAAUCAAUUGUAAAGAGGAGAAACAGGAAAAAUAUUUUUAAAUGCUCCAGGUCCCAUGCAUUACUUGCAUUGCACAACAUCACUCAUGAGCCACUCAGUAAAAUUUGACUUACUUUGGAGAAGGAGUCAACCGACGAAGCAUUUUAGAGUCCUGAGGAUUUAUAAUGUCAGCGUUACAAGCCCUUCUGAGAAUAGAUAACAAUUCUGUUAACACAAACGCAAAGGCUACUUUUCUGCUUAAAAGUUAUGAUACCAGCAUCCACUUAUUAAAUGCUUGAAUGUGUCUUAUGCCACAUCCAUAUUACUUGCUUAUAAAUUGACUAUUUCUUAAUAUGAGACGAUAUAAAAAUACUGUCACAAUCUCCUGUGUGAAUUCAAACUUUAUAGAAAAUACUUUCGUUUACCUCAUUGCUUUCACUUAAAAGAAAAAGCAUCACACUACUUUAGGUAUCCAGAAUCCUGGUGUGUCCAUGCACAGUGUUUUAUGACAUCUGCAUUUUACAGGAAGAGGGGGAGGAACAACACAGUUUUUACAUUAACAUAGAUAUACUAGAGAAGUGCCAUUAUUGAGUUAGCUACCUACUCCUGUCCAUUCAUGAAUGAAUAAUGUUAGAAUUAACAUGAGCUAUAGUGCAUUAUUUAUUAUUUCUCUGGGUUUGAUGCUUAGCAGAGGUGCUAAAGGUCUAAUGCCUUUUAAAUGUAAUUCAUUUCCCUUUUUAAUAUGUUUUGCUUGCUAAAAGAGACACUUCAAUUUUCCUUUGCUAUUGGUAUUUUGGGAAAAUCUUUCUUAAAUUAGAGUAAUAUUGAAAUUAUUUCAAGUUAAUAGUUAAAUAAAUAGAACAAUUAAUUCAAAGCAUGCAAUUAUUUAGUUUUAAGGAAUAGACCCUGAAGUAAACUUGAAAUGUGUCUAUUUGGUUAUAACCUGUACCUGUACCAUGAAAGUGAAAACAAAAUUAUGCUCUUAUGCUCAUUUUCUCUAAUAUUUAUUUCUGAAGGUUCAAGAAUUGCUAGCAAGAAAGCAUCCAGACUGAAAGCCUGGCACUACUGAAGUAAUAGGAGUUUCAUUCACAGUAGCACAACCCCUUCAGUGAUUGUUUGUUCUUGUUUAAACAAGAUUCUUAUUUAUGCUGUUAAAGACUGAAGAUUAAUAUUUUAUGAUUCAUAAUACAUGUUGUUGAAGCUUGGUGAAGCAGGCAGUAAAACAGACACUUCCUAAGAAGCAUUUUCAGCACAAGCAAAAUUGCCCAGACAUUGCUCAAAAGAGGCUGUCCAAAUGGGCCCGAACAGUCGAGUGAUCUGUAUAGAAAUUAAGAGUAUUAGUUACAAGCUGGGAAAACACCCUUUCUAAUUGUAAAAAUAUAGCUGUUGUGUGUCAAGGGCAAAUUAAACAGAGAAAGCCUCCAGAAUCUUACAAACCACUGUGAGAAUGCUUUCUCACCUGUGGGUAUAUCUGAUUAUCGGUCUUAAGUUAUGAGGCUUUUUGGCAAGGUAUGCAAAUUCCUGCAAUGAAUUCAGUCUACUAAAAGCAAGCUGUUGGCUAGUGCUCUUGGCAAGCUUAGGGUUUGCAAUGAGCCUUCUGCAAAAAAUGUUUCGAUCCUUAAUCAUUUUGGAGAACAAUUGCUUCCUCAGGGCUUCUGUCUGCAAUGUGAGUUGACGUGUUUCUUCUGUUGAGAUGCUAUGUGAUGUGUCCCAGUUAAACACCUUAAUUUGGAAUGGAGUAUUAAUUUAUUCUUUGAAUUUGUUAACUACAUUUUCAAGGGUUUUCACAAUACCUCUGAAGUUCCCUAUGCAUCUCCACGUAACUUCCCAAACUGCAACUUUCCAGAGUCCAAAGAAUAUCCUAAUCAGGAUCAUAGAAUCAUAGAGUCAUAGAAUGGUUUGGGUUGGAAGGGACCCUUAAGAUCAUCUAGUACCAAUCUCCCUGCUAUAGGCAGGGACAUCUCCCUCUAGACCAGUUUACUCAAAGCCCCAUCCAGCCUGGCCUUGCAUGCUUCCAGGGAGGGGGCCCAAUCACUAAAAGAAAACUCCCAAACAACCCAAAUUACAAGUACGUAGCCUGCAGUGGACACAAAAAGGUAGGCAGUGCUAGAAGGAUCUUCUUUCUCUGAAUAUUUAUAAGGAUGUUUAAUGAUAAACAAGAUGAACAAGAUGAAGAGUCACCACACCCUCAAGUUUUCUUCAGAUAAUGAAUUAACAGGUACUGUGGUGCACUUUAUUCUUAACGUCAUUAUUAACAAGCAUUCCAGACAUCAAUAGAUAUUGUGAAAUUCAACCAUUGCAAUUGUAUAUGUUGCCUUGCAAAGGCAUCUAGGUGGUUAUGUGGGCUAAGCGAUGAGACUGACUGGCCUUGGUGGGCUGCUCCUCCUGUGUGCAAGCAUCACAAGCUCCUCCUGCACUGCCUUCAGUCUUUGCUGGUGAAUAGAACACAGGCAUUUUUCAGCUUGAAAUCUCUUUUAGGAUCUCAAUAUCCUUUUAUUUUUCUUUGUUGUCAUGUUUACCAUUACCAUUAGAAGAUGGUACAUACAUUAUCAGUUACGAAAUGUGGUGAAAAAUCCAUACCAAGAAUAAUCUGAAACUUUCUUCUGUAGAAGGGGGUACAAGAAUAGCACAUUUUCUAUCCACUAAAUCCCUGCUAAUUUUGGGAAUUUCAGCUGAUCACAAAGGAUUGUGAAGGAAAAGAACAGCAAUAGUAGCAGCUUAGAUCUGGACAGCUUCUUCCUCCAUUUUAAAAUGAACAAAGCUUAGACCCACAGUAACUUUAUUUAACUCCUGUUUAUUCUAGUGGUAAUUAUAAAAUUAAGUAAGGAGUAGACAAUGAAUGUGUGUUAGGAAACUUGGUCUAUGUGGUUUGAGUGGGAUUGUGUUGAAACUUGUUCUCUAAGCCUUUUAAAUGUCUCUCACCUAAAACCUUAAGGUAAAGUAUGAAACUGUAAUGAACAAAUAAAGAAAUUAAAACUAUCUAAUUAAUUAAACUCAUGGAAAAUUAGUAUUAAAAUUGCAUUCCUUGCAGUACUCAGACUAUUAUUUACAGCUAUUUUUUUUUAAUUUCAUAUCAAAACUAUAAAUGGCUUUAAUAGCAAAGACACUUCAGAAAAUGCACUUUCUAUAAACCAUUUUAAUUUUGCUAUUGCACUGAAGUGAAGGCACACAAUUAGAUUAUUAUUAUCAUUAUUAUGUGUGAAAAUCCAUGUGACCAUUUCUGUGUGCUUAUGAUUUUUUCCCCUGACAUUUUGGAAGUGCAGAAUGCUUACAGAUUUCCAGCUGCCCCAGUAUAAAGCAAGUGAGCAACCAAAGCCACACUCUGAGUUAAAAAAAAUAAAUGACCUUGUAGUCAACACUCAUUAACCAAUCAACCAAACAAACAAAGCAGGGACAAAACAGCAGAAGGCUGCAGUCAGCAUCCUAAAGCAUAUUUGUGUCCUGCAUCUUGUCAUGAUUGAUGCUCUGCACUCAUGGCACUUGACAAACAUUGUUUUGCAGGUAGUUAGCAUGAUGACAAAUUAACAAAUGAAAUAAAUGGAUUACAAAGCAUUUACGCAGUCAUUUAUGCCUUUUUCACAUCCAGCCUGGAUUACUACAGAGUGAUCAGAGGCUACUUACGAAGCGAUAUAUAAGCUUUACAAGGUGCAACAUGCAGCAGGGUGAUUAAUGCAGAAGGAUUAAUGAACAUAAUUUUGAAUCAGUAGCUUUUGUCUUACGCCAUUUGCUCAUUUUGUUAUUAAUAGGCACUGAAAUCAUGACCCUUAUUUCAUAAAUCCUUAAAGGACUGGUAAUGGGCUGAUAGUAUUCUUGAAACAUCUUUGAAACAGCCUCAGAUAAACAGGAACAAAAGAGAUGAUCAUCCAGGAGCAAACAUCUGAGAAGCAGGGUAAAUUACCUUGGGUGACGGUCCACUCUAUCAUGGCAGCAGUGCUUCUGGCUCCUCCAUACUUUACUGGUUUGGUACUGUAAGUCUCAGUGGACUAUUGCUGGGGGGUCCUCAGGUUUCGAAUGACUUACUGGAGUGUCUCUCAAAAUCUGUGGUGGAGAAUGACACAAGUCAUUUUUCAUAUGCGUCAUCCCUUGCUAUGUGGUGUGCUGCAUUUGUAGACAAUGACUAAAAGUGCUCCUUUCUAAGACAGACUUCACAAGAUCUAGGUGUUUCUGCUGAGCUGCAGAGGAUUUGCCAGGGUGCUCUGGAGCAAAUCACAGCACAAAGAUGCCCCUCACUUUGCAUGGGUACCAUCAGUGUGUGGUGCUGGCCUGCUACAGCUGCCAAAAUUCUGUUCUUCUGAGGUCUCGUUCUGGGAUAAACUUGUUAAAAUUUGGUUUGUCCACUCCAUACGACAGAGAGCAGAGAUCAUGAUCCUAAGCACAUUCCAUGGAUGUUUCCCAUUGUCUUGUUUUGGACAAAUAAUCAGAAAGGUAAUUUGUACCGAAAGUAUUUUGGGUUCAUUCUUUUUUUUUAUUUUAAGUUUGAUUUUUUAAAUGAUGCAUAGUAAUUUUUUAUGUGUUGUUAAUCUGAUGUGUACCACAAGAUAAAGGAAACUUUUGAUCUUACACUUACAGUUUAGCAAGUUAACACGUGUCAUCUGAGCUGUGGUAACUGCCCAAUUUUCUGUUCUUUGCCUGUGGCAGCUACUUAAUAGUUCCAUUUAACUGGCCCUCAGAGAAAGCACCUGCAGAGAUUUGGUGUACCGCAGACUGUCUCACCCCUUACAAGCAUGUGAAGGUGUGAGUUUCUCAAUUUGACCACCACAGUUGACCGCAUACUUGUAGUAUCUUGAAUUAUGGUGUAUAUAUUUGUACAGAACAUAUUGAAAGUCAGCUGGGAAGCUCCCCCCAGUUAUGAAGCACUGAACAUCUGCAGGAUGAGCAACUCACACUCUGGGAGAACAUAACUGUCAUAUGACUGCUAGAGGACAUGUUUUCAGUGGUAGCAUUAUACAUUUGUGGUCCCUGAGGUGAUGAUGUGGAGAGCCAAAAGUCUGGGGUAUGGUAAGGGAGUUGGCAUGGGCUCUAGGGGAGUGAAGUCUGACACUGCAGGUUUGUAACUCAUUCUAGAAAUUAAGAUGCACUAUUUUUGGAGAUGUUUGCUACAGAAAAACACCACACCUUGUCUGAAGUGCAAAGAUGGAAAAGAAAAGAGAAUGAGGUAAUAGGCAAGGGAAUGAUGGCAAUUGAAGUGCCAGUUGUGCCUUAAGGUGGCAUGAACAGGUCUAAGGAAGGGAAGGAAGGGGAACUGAAGGAAGUGAAUUAAGCUUUAUGUAAGAGCUGUGACUUCAGGCUUAUACCAGUAGCUGAAAAAUUAAUUUGUUGAACAAAAGUGGAUGACCAACCUGUUCCAAGGCUAUUUUGUGCAUUAAAAUUCAGGAAAAAAACAGUAAAAAGAAUGAUAAAAUAUUACUAAUAGUAAGAAUGUGAUGCUUUUCCAUCAACAUUACAUGUGAAAUAUAUGCCUGAAAGCGAAUUGUGGUGAUCAGAAAGUAGAAAAUAGACACUUGGAAGAGAGCUCUAGUUGAUGCACACUCAUAGAGAUGAACAAGAUGAGAAACUACUCUUAUCCCCACUCUUUUGGUGAGUUGCAGGCUGACAUGCCUAACAUUCCCCAAUCAGUGUACAGUUCUGUAAACUAAUUGAGAUGAUUCAGCUAUCUUGUGUUGCAGUGAUGCUCUUUUCCAUAUGUAAUGCUGAGGAUCUUCAGGUAGCAGUGACCAAGCUAUCUCCAGAUUUAGGAGCAGUGAUGACAGCAUUUAGUCAGGUGCAGAACUGCAUUAAUGCUUCAUUGCUGUCAAUGUCCAAACAGGACCUCUUGGUCUGAUGUGGGACAAUUGAAGCAUUGGGCCCAGCCAGCAUGGGUUCAUGAAAGGCAGGUCCUGCUUAACCAGCCUUGUCUCUGUCUGUGAUCAAGUGACCUGCCUGGUGGAUGAAGGAAAGGCUGUCAACAUAGUCUACCAAGAAUUCAGCAAAGCCUUGACGCUGUCUUCCACAGUAUUCUCCUGGAGAAGUUGGCAGCCCACAGCUUGGACAGGUACACACUUUGCUGGGUAAAGAAGUGGUUGGAGGGCCAGGUCCAGAGAGUGGUGGUGAAAGCAGUUAAAUCCAGCUCGCAACUGGUCAUGACUGGUGUUUCCCAGGGGUCAGUAUUAGAGCCCUGUCCUCCUCAGUAUCUUUAUCUGAUGAUGUGGAUGAGAAGAUUGAGUGCACCCUCAGUAAGUUAGCAGAUGACACCAAGUUGGAGUGUCAAUCGACCUGAGGGUAGGAAGGCUCUAUGGAGGAGUCUGGACAGGACAGAUAGCUGGGCUGAGGCUAAUGGCAUGAAAUUCAACAAGAACAAGUGUCAGGUCCUGCACUUUGGCCACAACAACUUCGAGCAACACCACAGGCUUCGGGCAGACUGUUGGGAAGACCGUGUGGAAGAAAUGGACCUGGGGUCUUUGGUCAACGCUCAGCUGAACGUAAGCUAGCAGUGUGUCCAGGUAGCCAAGAAAACCAAUGGCAUCCUGCCUUGUGUCAGAAGUAGUGCAGCCAGCAGGAGCGGAGGGGUGAUCGUCCCCUUUUACUUAUUACCUUGAGUACUGUGUUCAGUUUUGGGCCCUUCACUACAAGAAAGACAUUUCUCUGUGUCCGGAGAAAGGGAAUGAAGCUGUAAGGAGGCUGGAGCACAAGUCUUAUGGGGAGUUACUGAGGGAACAGGGAUUAUUUAGUAUGGAGAAGAGGAGGCUCAGAGGAGACCUUAUUGAUCUUUGCAAUGACCUGAAAGGAGGCUGUGGUGAGCUGGGGGUCAGCCUCUUCUCUCAGAUGACAGGGAUAAGAUGAGAGCUAAUGCCCUCAAGUUGUGCCAGGGGAGGUUCAGGUUGGAUAUUCAGAAAAAAUUUGUCUCCAAAAGAGUAGCCAGGUGCUGGAACGGGCUGCCCAGGGAAGUGGUUGAGUCAUCGUCCCUGGGAGUGUUCAAGAAAUGUUUAGGUGUACUGAGGGAUAUGGUUGAGCAGGGAAAUAUUGGUGGUAAAUGCGUGAUUGGAUUAAAUGAUCUUGGAAGUCUUUUACAACCUUGGCGAUUCUAUGAUCUUAUGAUUCUAUGGCCUCAAUCACAGUUUGGGUUCAACAUAGCUACUUCAGCUAAUUAAGAAUUAAAAAUGUGUGGAGAAAGCAAAGAAACAUUGCAUUCAGUCAGCACUAUAGUAAAAGGAAAAGUAAAGACUGUGUGGCCUUCAAGAGCUAAGCCCUGUAGCCCGCAGGACAAUCCUGUGUGUAGAAGGCAGUAGACGUGCAGCAGGAGGAAGCCUUGGUUGUGUUCUGAAUUUCUUGAUGCAUUUGAACAGUUGCCUUGACCAUACUGGAAUAAUUAAUGGGACUUGAUAUUUCUGAGUGUACUUAACUACUGAUUUAUGCAUUACCAUAAGCUCACCAUUGUCCAAAUGUACCUGUAGGGCCUCAGCUAAAGGCUUUGAAGUCAGUAUCAGUCUGAAGAGAAUGCGAGGUUGAUCAUGCCCUUAAACAAAUACUUCCGGAAGGCCCACUGUGCAUAUAGAGAAGUAUUUUCUUGCUAAGCUGACAUUUUAAAAUUAAACAUUUUUUUGGCUCCAGGCCUUAAAGGAAAUAGGACAAGUUUCUCUUCACUUAUUUUUUAAUGAUGCAAAAAAUAAGUUUAAGCUUCUUUUUAUUUUAAAGUGACUAUGUAUCUCUUUUCAGACUCUUCUAACUCAGCCCAACAACAACAAAUACCCUAAGCUCACAGAUGGAAGAGAAAGCAUCAGAAAGUACUGACUUAAAAUGUCUUUUAAAGUUUUAAGUUUGGAAAGCAGUGAAUGAAUGGAAACUCUUUUGCAACCAUAAGAACUCUUUUUGCAGUGGAUGCCAGUUUGUGGGUGUUUGUGUGUGUCAGAGCUUGUCACGUAGUUAUUGGGAUUAUAUUUUCCAUGCAUACUUAUGAAUCACUCAGAAAUAGAUCCUGGUUUCUGCUAUUGCUUUACUAUUUGUAAGCAUAAACUCAAUAAUUUGGACGAUUACAUUUCAGAAUGUCUAUAAGCCAAUUGCUUUAGUGUGUCACUUCUGACUGUUUAUGUGACAUGAUUGAUUAACUAUAUUACAGUGUAAGCUUUCAGCUUUCCUUUUGGAGAAUUAAAACUUUUAAGAAGUCCAAACAAUGAAUAUAAAAUUAAAUCAUCCAGAAUGUAACAGCUAAAGGAUCUGACUUAAUUCCUUUUUUUCAGUCUUCACCCAAUGGGAAGUGAGUGCUGUAUGUCUUCUAUGAAGUUGAAUAAACUUCUGCUCGUUUCAAUUAUGUUGCUGAAUCAAAAGACCAACUCCUAGGAACUGCUCACGAUCAGUUUAGCGCAGUGUUAGUAAGUACUUUCUUUGUCUUUUUUUUUUUUCUUUUUAACUACUUUUUGGAUUUAAUAACUUGAUAUUACUAUUUAUAGUUAUAUUUAAUAACUAUAUGACGAUUUAUUUAAUACCUUAUCUUGCAUAGGAUUCAGAAUCUGAGAAAAAAAAAAGAACUGUAUAUGUGUGCACUUUUUGUUACUAUUCUGUUACAACCAAUUAUUUCUAGUUCAACAAUUCUGUAAAACAGAUGGUACUAUUAAAACUUUUGGGGGAUGGAUACCAAAGGACCUUUUGAGGUGGUACGUCUUUGCAUGCCCAGCCUUUAUGUAUUGUCAACACCUGGGUGAUGCCUGAGGCAUGCCAACCAAUAAUUAUAUACCUUCAUUUUUCUUUCCUGACAGUCUGUCAUCAUUCAUUUUAACUAUGAGUUAAAGAGAGAUUCUUCAUGCCUACCCCUUCACCCUGUCCCACAUUCUACAGUAUCUUCUCCAAAAUCAUAUUUGUUUCACCAGCAGGUUAUAUAAUGGGGUUCACUACAACUGUUUUGCAUACGAAAGAAAGAAUCAUACAGUUCUGGAUUUUCUGAACUACAUAAGUGACAGCUGCAGAACAGAUUAUUUAAGCAACUCUAAUCCAGGAAGUUACUUGCAAUUAAUUUUUUUAACAUUAAAUUCCUAAUGAUCAUCAAGACAGUUAUUUUGAUGUUACUUUACAUAAGGUCAGUCAUGGUUUUCACCUUAAAGGAAGUCAAUCUUGAAACAGAAUUUGUAUGUAAUUCAUGCAGGGUCACAUCAGCAGUGGGUUUCUUUGAGAAACAAGGAGGCAUAAAACACUUGUGUCUUCAGUGAAUGAAAGUUGGGUUGGAAAUAGGGAGUUCACCUCUUCAAAUGAAAGUAGAGUUGAAAGACGGAAGCAAUCAGUAGGUAAUCUAGUCUGAUCUCUUGUAUAAUAUGAGCAGCAACUUCUGUAAUGAGCUUAAUCAUUUGCUAGUAAUUAAUGCAUAUGUUGCAUUUCACUCAGGUAGCUCUUACAGAAAAGCUUUCAGUCUUCAUGUGAAGGCAUUAAGAUGUGAGGAGACUACAUGUGCAUUGGUCUUUGCUCCGGAAAUUAAUCAUUCUUGCAGUUAAUUAAUAGAUAAUUUCCCCAUCUUAACUAACUUGUGCUUAGCCUUCCCUGGUGACUUGUUUUGCCUUUCAUGAUUUAUUAAAAUUGCUUUUAUGGCCACUAUUCUGUUACCAUGUAGAUAUUUUGUACUUUGUAAGCAAACCACCUCUCACUAUUGUUUUUGAAAUGUUGGAAAGAUUCCUUAGAAUCAUAGAAUCACCAAGGUUGGAAAAGACCUAUAAGAUCAUCCAGUCCAACUCUCCACCCAUCACCAGUAUUUCCCACUAAACCAUGUUCCUCAGUACAUCUGACCGUUUCUUGAACACCUAUAGAGAUAGUGACUCCACCAACUCCCUGGGCAGCCUGUUCCAGCGCCUGACCACUCUCUUGGAAAAGUAUUUCCUAACAUUGAACCUGAAUUCCCCCUGGCCCAACUGGUUUUCUUGGCCACCUGGGCAUACUGCUGGCUCACGUUCAGCCGAGUGUUGACCAAAGUCCCCAGGUCCGUUUCUUCCACACAGUCUUUCUGACAGUUUGCCCCAAGCCUGUAGUGUUGCCUGAGGUUUCUGUGGCCAAAGUGCAGGACCUGGCACUUGGUCUUGUUGAACUUCAUCCCACUGGCCUCAGCCCAGCUAUCCAGACUAUCCAGAUCCCUUCGUAGGGCCUUCCUACCCCCUGGCAGGCCUUAUUCCAUCCACAUAGGGAUUGAUUUGUUUGUUUGUUUGUUUAUUUAUUUGAGCUCUUAAGUGAUUUUCUUUUUUUCUGUACAUGUAGAACUUUGCAGAUGGUUGCAUUAUCGAUUGCAGUUUGAUAGCAUAUUCCUGCCUCUCUUCUCAACUUCAUAACUUCAUUCAUCAUUCAGCCAGGACAUGUGACAGCUGUACGUCUGAUUAAAUCUUUGACUAACAAAGCUAAAUAUGUGUCACAGCAGAACCAUCUGCUCAAGGUGAUUCACAGCUUUUUGAAAUUCGUCUAUGAGCCUUUCUACUCAAAGAAUCAAAGUUUUUUUUUUGUUGGUUUUUUUUUUUUGGUCAGAGUACACUUUUAAAUACACCCAGAUGUCUAGUGGUAGUGUGCAUAUUCUUCAUAGAAUCAUAGAAUCAUGGCUUAGGUUGGAGGAGGGCCUUAAAGAUCAUCUAGUUCCAGCAGCCCAGCCAUGGGCAGAGCUGCCACCCACCAGAUCAGGUUGCCCAGGACCUCAUCCACCCUGGUCUUGAACACCGCCAGGGAUAGGGCACCUAUAGCUUCUCCGGGCAUCAUGUGCCAUUGCCUCAUGACCUUUUGGGUAAAAAAUUUCUUUCUAACAUCUGAACUAAAUCUACCCAUUUUUAGCUUAAAGCCACUCUCCCUUGUCCUAUCACUAUCAGACCAUGUGAAAAGUCAGUCCCCCUCCUGCCUGUAAGCUCCCUUCAAGCACUGGAAGACCACAAUGAGGUAUCCCUGAAGCCUUCUCUUCUCCAAGCUAAAUAAGUCCAAAUCCCUCAGCCUUUCUUCAUAAGAGAGGUGCUCCAGCCCUUUGGUCAUCUUCAUGGCCCUCUGCUGCUCCAACAGCUCCAGUAUUUUUCUUGUGCUGGGGGCCCUGGGUCUGGACACAGUAUCCCAGAUGGGUACCUUGUGAGGUACAGCCUCACAAGGGCAGAGUCAAAGGCGACAACCACUUCCUUCUCCCUGCUGGCCACCUCUCUUUUGAUGCAGCUAAGGAUACAGUUGGCCUUCUUGGCUGCAAGCACACACUGCUGGCUCAUGUCCAGCUCUUCUUCCACAGGACCCCCAAGUCCUUCUCUGCAGGGCUGCUCUCAGUGAGUUCUUCUCCCAGCCUGUACUCAUAUCUGGGAUUGUCUCGAACCAAGCUAAACAACUUGCACUUGGCCUUGUUAAACCUCUUUAGAUUCUCAUAUGCCCACUUUUCAAGCAUAUCCAAGUCCCUCUGGAUGGUGUCCCUUCCUCUGUUGUGUCAACUGCAUCACUCAGCUUGGAGUCAUCCUCAAACUUUCUGAAGGUAUACUCAAUCCCACUGUCUAUGUCACUGAUAAAGAUAUUGAAGAGCACUGGUCUCAAGACAGAUCCCCAGGGGAUACCACUUGUGACCAGCCUCCACCUGGACAUAGAGCCAUUGAUAACAACUUCCCAGCUAUCACUAGUCAACCAAUUCUUUGUCUGCCAGAUAGUCCAGUCUUCCACUUUCAGUCCUUCCAUUAAAGGAUUCUUAUCCUUUAAUUCUUUGUGAUGUAAAUCCUACAUGAAUAUUUCAUUAAUAUCCCCUGGAUUAAUACCAGGAUUUAUGACCCCUAGUUACACAGGUCAUCUACUUGCACUUCUAUUGAGAGCUUUCACAAGAUUAAUGCUCUCUAGGCAUCUGAGUCUUUCUGCUAUCGCGUGAUGUAUGGCAGAUGAGUAUCAGCAAGCAAGGCUUUUCAGCUAAUUCUUAAGGAAUUCUUGGUGGAGAAUUUUCUGAAUCUUCUGUUUUUAAGAUAUUUAUCUCUUGUGGAUGGUGUUCAAGAUUCUUCUUAAUUACUUACAGACUGCAAAACGCUGCAUUGCCCUGUAGUUUCAUGCAUCAUCCAUUUUAUUGCCACAGCAGCUGCUCUUCUCAGUGACCAGGCCUUAGAUCUUGUCUAAGAACAAUUGCAGUGAACACUGUUCAUUUGCUUCCAUUGUAAUUUAUAAAUAAUAUGGGAAUGGUCCGUCCCCUGACUUAUAGGUGUGAUUUUCACUGACUUCAGAAACACUUGCAGCAAAUACAGUAAAUGCAGGGUAGAAUGAGAUAAUGUCCUCUAGUUGAUAAGUUGGUUGAAUGAAAGAGAUUUCUCUCUACAGUGCUUACCUUUCUCUGAUGGGACUUGAAGAUAUAGUCUAAACACAAUAGUUAAAUCAUGAACCUGUAGGUUGUGAAUAAAUAUAGGUAUGUCUGGACAUCCCUUGAUACGUGUAUUAUGUUACAGAGACUAUCAUCAGUGCUUUUCAGAAGGCUAGUCAUAUAUAGAUAAAAAUGAUUUCAGUGAAAAGCCAACAAUUUAGUAAUUAUUACUGAAAACAGUCCUCAGCAUGUUCAGGGGUGAACAAAGUCAUACAUAUGUCUACAGAAAAGUAUUUUAGUUCAGUUUGUAAUGUUUCUAUGAUUUCUUUGUAAGACUAGAAGCAUGUAUGCGUUUAAAGUGUCAUAUAACUUUAUUCAAUUAUGCUUGAUUGUUAUAAACAUAUUUUCUUGAAGUAUACUGAUAACAGUUAAACUGAUGUUUGUUAAAGAAAUGACUCAACCAAAAUGAUAAGAAUUGACACUACUUUUGCUACUGCUUUUAAUGCAUCAUCAACUAAAGGCACAAGAAAUGUAUCUUUGGUGGAAAGACAGUUCUGAAGAACAGAAAAAUAUCUGAGGAAAUCUCAUUCAAUUAACUGAAAACAACAAAAAUAAUGAUCCAGACAGAGGCACAUUUCAGAGAAAGAGUAUGCUUUUGGCUCUGAUUAUCCCUGCAUUGACUCAUACAGUUUAAGGGAAAUAUUAUGUCAAAGUAUCUUGUAAUAGCAGAGGAACAAAUAACUAGUGGUAACCAUAAAUGUUCAUGAAAACAAACAAACUUGUGUAUACCAACAUGUACAUAAUGGCAAACAAUAGCAGCUCUAAACAUUGCUUAAUUUAGUGCAGUACCUGAAAAGUCUUUUGUCCAAGAUGUGCUGAAAUUUUCUGGGCAACUUUAUACUUAUUACCCCCUGUUCUGACAUGUUUUAUGAAAAAACUACAGGAAAUUGUACGUAUCUUCUUUAUGCCAGCAGUCAGAAAGGACAAAAGACUCAACUUGCAGUUGAAAAACAUCAGAAAUGCAGAAACAAAUGGUGUUCCAUCACCCACUGUAUACAGUCUCUGUGCUGAACAGCCUAUAUUAGAAAUAGCAUGCACUAGCAAAUAUUGGCAUGUUAUUUCUUUCUUGACAGACUUGAGAAAAGUUUUCUGAAAUUGUCUUACAUAUUAAGAUGUUAAAUAAAACUAAAGUAGAUGUGAAUGCGCUAGCUCCUGUAUUAAAAGUGAUUUAGAUAUGAUUGAGUUAGUUUGAUCCAAAAACAAAAUUGUCCAGUAACAGCAUUAGUAAAUAAUGCCCAGAUCUUUAAACAAAAGAGGUAUUUAGAAACUGUUAAAUAGAAAAUAAAGUUUACUUAAUAACAGUGCAUUUAAUGGACCAAAAAAUAACUCUGUAAGUUAUAAAACAGCAUGGUCUGAAGCAUGUAACUCUGUAAUCUGAAAUCAGGUACAAAUAACAAAUAAAGGUUUUAUGCAGAUGGGUAAACUACAAAAUGUAAGUGCUAUGACAAUGUAAAUGGUACUUAGCAACAGCUGUCUUUUCUGUUCUAAUAUGCAUGAAGGUUUCAAAAUGUACCUUGUGAUAAAGAACAUAAUAUAUCAGCCUUGAUUAUAUCGUUCACCUCAGCUUCUUCCACCAGAAAGUGUGAUAAGGCUCAGAGAAUACAAUAGUCCAGUAUGUUCAAAUGCCUGGGUUUCCCGAGAAGUAUGCAAGGUGCAAAAUAAUGCCAAUUUUUAAUUGCAAGAAAACUAUUAGAUGAGAGUAAACACUGAGUUACAGGAGCCCAGUCACUGUCCAGAGUGUGGGAAAGCUCUGCCUUCUCUGAAAGACUCUGUCCAGGGGCAGUGGAGGUCUUCCUGACAUUAAAGACUGGUUUUAUAGGCGAUCAAAACUGAUUAACCAGAACAAGAUAAUUAUUUAUACAGAGAGAUUACUACUCUGUCAGAUAUCCCAUAUUAAGAAAGAAGUUUUGAGAACAAAUUUCCAUGUUCCUCUCUUCUUUUACAAAAUGAUUCUUAUAGAAGUCCAACAUUUAGAGUUAGUUAUUGUAACAGUAAUGAGACAGUAUUUCUAUGUUACGUCUGUAAUAUAUUUCAAAAAGUUUAGUUCCAGUUGGCUGGACGUGCUUCAUCACGUCUCAAAAGAGAAGGUGUUCCAAAGAGACUGUGGCUACAAAUAUUUCAGAUGUUAAAGCAAAAAGGAUGCAAGAUGAAAAGUGAAAGUGCUGAACACAACUGACCAAAUUAGAAAAUAAGAAAAAAAUGUGGGAAGUCAACAUGAAAGCAAGGAAAUAAAAGAUGCUGCAGUAUACAGAUCCAGGAAAAUAUUGCAGGCACUGUUUUAGAAGCAGCUGUAUUUCUUGAUGUGAAAUAUCUUUUGCUUUAAUACAACCAGUCUCUAUGCACUUGUACUUUAUUAAUAAUAUAACACUUAUGUUGAGUAGUAGAAACAAAAUAUAGAGGAAUUACAGAAAAUACUACUCCGAUUCAUAAAUUCAAUUUUUGUCUGUAGAAAAAAUACAUAGAAAUUUACCUGGGAAAGAUAAAUCUACAGGGACUCUUCAGAGUGUUUAGAAGAACAGAUUCUAAAUAGGGCGCCUCUGCGAUGCUGUGUGUAGUUCUUAAGGAUACCCUCUACUCUCACUGGCAGGAAUUACUGCUCUGCGCUAUGCAGAUGCUGGUGUUCUGAAAACUGUGGGUGAAGAUGGCAGACUUCAUCUUUCUUCCAGUCAUGGCAAUGGCUGUCAGGGGCUCAUUAUGGUUGUCUUCUGCACAGAGGCUUUAAGGGAAGAGUACACCUAUAUCAUCACUUUUCUUCCUGUGUACCAUGUAUAAGGUAUAGGAUUUCCCUUCUGCACUUCUGUGAUUUAAAAUUUCCUACAUAUUUCUGCUGAUAUGUGGAAUUGUUGCUACUUUAUUAUUAUUAUUAUUAUUAUUAUUAUUAUUAUUAUUAUUUUGUGCCAAGAGAGAUUUGUUCAUUCAACUAUCUAUCUACUAAAAUUUCACUGAAAUUCACAAAACUGGUGAUUCCUCUUCUUGGAUUUAGAGCUGGUAAAAGUGAUACAGAUUUUACAUUCUCAAUGCCCAUAUAUAAACUUUAAAUGUAAUGAACAAAUCUUAAACACAAAUUUACAUGUAAUUUACAUAGACACGGUUGAGUUUUAAUAAUAUAGUGUUGAGAGAUGGAAAAAAAUAUGUAUACAUUUUUAUUUUGGCAUAUUUUAUAUAUUUUAUUUUGGCUGUAAAGAAAAAAA
Molecule: long non-coding RNA, 17764 nt
Filed under: Gallus gallus (chicken)
Lineage: Eukaryota; Metazoa; Chordata; Aves; Galliformes; Phasianidae
Source: RNAcentral